This 317-nucleotide unclassified non-coding RNA is filed under the name uncultured fungus. Its description in RNAcentral is "partial contains 5.8S ribosomal RNA and internal transcribed spacer 2". The stretch from base 1 to 133 matches the Rfam family "5.8S ribosomal RNA", at positions 22 to 154 of the family's 154-position model. Lineage: Eukaryota; Fungi. The record is from RNAcentral.
UGGUUCUGGCAUCGAUGAAGAACGCAGCGAAAUGCGAUAAGUAAUGCGAAUUGCAGAAUUCCGUGAGUCAUCGAAUCUUUGAACGCACAUUGCGCCCGUUAGUACUCUAGCGGGCAUGCCUGUUCGAGCGUCAUUUCAACCCUCAAGCCCUGCUUGGUGUUGGGGUACUACAGCUGCUGUAGGCCCUUAAAGACAGUGGCAGGCUCGCUACAACUCCGAGCGUAGUAAUAUACGCCGCUUAGGGUGUUGUAGCGGGAUCUAGCCCCCCUCUAUAAUUUCUUCAGGUUGACCUCGGAUCAGGUAGGAAUACCCGCUGA